GAUGAACGCUGGCGGCGUGCCUAAUACAUGCAAGUCGAGCGAACAGAUGAGGAGCUUGCUCCUCUGACGUUAGCGGCGGACGGGUGAGUAACACGUGGAUAACCUACCUAUAAGACUGGGAUAACUUCGGGAAACCGGAGCUAAUACCGGAUAAUAUAUUGAACCGCAUGGUUCAAUAGUGAAAGACGGUUUUGCUGUCACUUAUAGAUGGAUCCGCGCCGCAUUAGCUAGUUGGUAAGGUAACGGCUUACCAAGGCAACGAUGCGUAGCCGACCUGAGAGGGUGAUCGGCCACACUGGAACUGAGACACGGUCCAGACUCCUACGGGAGGCAGCAGUAGGGAAUCUUCCGCAAUGGGCGAAAGCCUGACGGAGCAACGCCGCGUGAGUGAUGAAGGUCUUCGGAUCGUAAAGCUCUGUUAUUAGGAAAGAACAAAUGUGUGAGUAACUAUGCACGUCUUGACGGUACCUAAUCAAAAAGCCACGGCUAACUACGUG
Molecule: ribosomal RNA, 497 nt
Filed under: uncultured bacterium
Lineage: Bacteria
Description: partial 16S ribosomal RNA
Rfam family: Bacterial small subunit ribosomal RNA
Source: RNAcentral